RNAcentral lists this ribosomal RNA (414 nucleotides) under uncultured microorganism. RNAcentral's name for it is "bacterial SSU rRNA". It matches the Rfam family "Archaeal small subunit ribosomal RNA", at positions 330 to 745 of the family's 1478-position model. The record is from RNAcentral.
GUGCACCAGGCGCGAAACCUCCGCAAUGCGGGAAACCGCGACGGGGGACCCCGAGUGCCGUGGCAACGCCACGGCUUUUCCGGAGUGUAAAAAGCUCCGGGAAUAAGGGCUGGGCAAGGCCGGUGGCAGCCGCCGCGGUAAUACCAGCGGCCCGAGUGGUGGCCGCUAUUAUUGGGCCUAAAGCGUCCGUAGCCGGGCCCGUAAGUCCCUGGCGAAAUCCCACGGCUCAACCGUGGGGCUUGCUGGGGAUACUGCGGGUCUUGGGACCGGGAGAGGCGGGGGGUACCCCUGGGGUAGGGGUGAAAUCCUAUAAUCCCAGGGGGACCGCCAGUGGCGAAGGCGCCCCGCUGGAACGGGUCCGACGGUGAGGGACGAAGGCCAGGGGAGCAAAACCGGAUUAGAUACCCGUGUAGU